Molecule: long non-coding RNA, 1149 nt
Filed under: Podarcis muralis (Common wall lizard)
Lineage: Eukaryota; Metazoa; Chordata; Lepidosauria; Squamata; Lacertidae
Description: lncRNA (ENSPMRG00000007015.1)
Source: RNAcentral
UAAAGGGAUACAGGGAUAUAAGGUUAGAAAUUUAAAAAAAAAGAGGACUAAGAAGAUAGAGAUUGGAAAAUAACAAUUGGGAGUUGCUAGUUGAACUUUGGACACUGGGAUGCAGAGAGGGGGGGUAUGGGGAAGUCAAAGGAAAGAAGUUUAUGAAAAUAUGUUUGAAACUAUACGUGUAUGUUUGUCAUUUUUGGUGUUUGUUUGUCUUUUGUUUAAAAAGUUUCUAAAACCAAUAAAAAUUUUAUAAAAAAAAAAAAAAAAGAACAGUUUCAGGUUAAGAAUGGACCUCCGGAACGAAUUAAGUACUUAACUCGAGGUACCACUGUACCACAUUGGCCAUCCCUGAUGUAAGAGAUGAGAAAAUAUAAGGGAACCAAGUUUUGACCUGAGUCUGCAAACUGAAAAUUCUAUUGUUUCCGGUCCCUAUUAGUGAAUUGAAUCAGCCUAUUGAAGGUAGGUGUUUGUCAGAAUAUAUAUACAGCUCAUAUUAAGUAUAACAUUGCUUUUUCUCUAGUAAAAGUUUCCCCUUUGUUGUGUGUGCACAUGUUCAUGGUUUUUAUAGUUGAAACUCAAAAAUAAUUUUUCUUAAUUCGCAGAAGAGCAGCAGAUAACCAGUUAGUCCAAACUGCAGCAGUCAAUCCGUAUGAGGAAGUUGGAAAAGACAAUCACGCAUUUGGAUCUGAAACAGCAUUCUAAGAAGGAAACCAGAAAAGCCUUCCCAUCUCUACUGCUAUAUGCAGACUGCAUUCUACUACUUGAUACAGAUCCUCAGCAGCCUUUGGAACUGAUAACAAAGCUGUAAUCUGAAGAAGAAAAACAACCCAUGAAUAUUUAAAUAAAAAUUCAAGAUGUGUUUCUCAUACCAUUUCUUUUAUUUACCUUUUAGCCGUUUCACUGGUUUAAUAAAUCAUUGGGGUAAGAGUUUCCAAACCAGAUUUUAGAGAUGGCAUUAGUGCAAGGGCUCACAAAAGAAAAGGCUGGACAAUCUUUCAGUGCUUGUCAUCUUCUCUGUGUGGUUCAAUGAGAGAAAGCAGAUGGCAAAAUGUGGGACGUUUUUCAGGCAGCUGUAUGAAAAGGAGAAACAAACCAACUCAGCGCUUGCCAUUGAUUGGUGGCCAUUAUUAUUAUUAUUAAUGCGAUUAACAA